GAUGAAGAACGCAGCGAAAUGCGAUAAGUAGUGUGAAUUGCAGAAUUCAGUGAAUCAUCGAAUCUUUGAACGCACAUUGCGCCCGCCAGCAUUCUGGCGGGCAUGCCUGUUCGAGCGUCAUUUCAACCCUCGAGCCCCCCCGGGGGCCUCGGUGUUGGGGGACGGCACACCAGCCGCCCCCGAAAUGCAGUGGCGACCCCGCCGCAGCCUCCCCUGCGUAGUAGCACACACCUCGCACCGGAGCGCGGAGGCGGUCACGCCGUAAAACGCCCAACUUUCUUAGAGUUGACCUCGGAUCAGGUAGGAAUACCCGCUGAACUUAAGCAUAUCAAUAAGCAGAGGA
This 343-nucleotide unclassified non-coding RNA is filed under the name soil metagenome. Its description in RNAcentral is "partial contains 5.8S ribosomal RNA, internal transcribed spacer 2, and large subunit ribosomal RNA". The stretch from base 1 to 120 matches the Rfam family "5.8S ribosomal RNA", at positions 35 to 154 of the family's 154-position model. The record is from RNAcentral.